This 492-nucleotide ribosomal RNA is filed under the name uncultured bacterium. Its description in RNAcentral is "partial 16S ribosomal RNA". It matches the Rfam family "Bacterial small subunit ribosomal RNA", at positions 29 to 507 of the family's 1533-position model. The record is from RNAcentral.
AGUGAACGCUGGCGGUAGGCCUAACACAUGCAAGUCGAACGGCAGCACAGUAAGAGCUUGCUCUUACGGGUGGCGAGUGGCGGACGGGUGAGGAAUACAUCGGAAUCUACUUUUUCGUGGGGGAUAACGUAGGGAAACUUACGCUAAUACCGCAUACGACCUACGGGUUAAAGCAUGGGAUCUUCGGACCUUGCGCGAUUGAAUGAGCCGAUGUCGGAUUAGCUAGUUGGCGGGGUAAAGGCCCACCAAGGCGACGAUCCGUAGCUGGUCUGAGAGGAUGAUCAGCCACACUGGAACUGAGACACGGUCCAGACUCCUACGGGAGGCAGCAGUGGGGAAUAUUGGACAAUGGGCGCAAGCCUGAUCCAGCCAUACCGCGUGGGUGAAGAAGGCCUUCGGGUUGUAAAGCCCUUUUGUUGGGAAAGAAAAGCAGCAGGUUAAUACCCCGCUGUUCUGACGGUACCCAAAGAAUAAGCACCGGCUAACUUCGUG